This 828-nucleotide ribosomal RNA is filed under the name Paramysis bakuensis. RNAcentral's name for it is "bacterial SSU rRNA". It matches the Rfam family "Eukaryotic small subunit ribosomal RNA", at positions 965 to 1815 of the family's 1831-position model. The record is from RNAcentral. Lineage: Eukaryota; Metazoa; Arthropoda; Malacostraca; Mysida; Mysidae.
CGUACUCAUUAAUUAAGAACGAAAGUUAGAGGUUCGAAGGCGAUCAGAUACCGCCCUAGUUCUAACCUUAAAUUAUGCUGACCAGCAAGCCGUCGAUGUCUCAUGACUAGACGGGAAGCUUCCGGGAAACCAAAGUCUUUGAGUUCCUGGGGAAGUAUGGUUGCAAAACUGAAACUUAAAGGAAUUGACGGAAGGGCACCACCAGGAGUGGAGCCUGUGGCUUAAUUUGACUCAACACGGGGAACCUUACUAGGUCCAGACACUGGAAGGAUAGACAGAUUAAAAGCUCUUUCUUAAUUUAGUGAGAGGUGGUGCAUGGCCGUUCUUGGUUGGUGGAGAGAUUUGUCAGGUUAAUUCCGAUAACGAACGAGACUCUUGCCUAUUAAAUAGUUGGAUGAUUAAAAUAUCAUGUCCUCAAUAGCUUCUUAGAGAUACAAACGGCAUGCAGCCAUCCGAAAAAGAGCAAUAACAGGUCAGUGAUGCCCUGUGAUGUCCUAGGCCGCACGCGUGCUACACUGAAGGGUUCAGCGUGUUUUCCUUCUCCGAGAGGAGAGGGUAACCAGUUGAAACCCCUUCGUAGCUUGGGAUAGGCCUGUAUCAAGCCCUUGAACGGGGAAUUCCUAGUAAGCUCAAGUAAACAGCUUGUGUUGAUUAAGUCCCUGCCCUUUGUACACACCGCCCGUCGCUACUACUGAUUGAAUCACUUAGUGAGGCCUUCGGACUGUCGCUCUUAGUAGUCUUAUGACUGCAUUGGGCCUGACGGAAAGAUGUCCAAACUUGGUCAUUUAGAGGAAGUAAAAGUCGUAACAAGGUUUUCGUAGGUGAACU